CAGUAGCCACGGUAAUACAGAGGGUGCAAGCGUUAAUCGGAGUUACUGGGCGUAAAGGGCGCGUAGGCGGUUAUAUAAGUGAGAUGUGAAAUCCCUGGGCUUAACCUAGGAACUGCAUCUUAUACUGUAUGGCUAGAGUAUUGUAGAGGGUAGUGGAAUUUCCGGUGUAGCGGUGAAAUGCGUAGAGAUCGGAAGGAACACCAGCGGCGAAGGCGGCUACCUGGACAAAUACUGACGCUGAGGCGCGAAAGCGUGGGGAGCAAACAGGAUUAGAUACCCCCGUAGUCCCUGUCUCUUAUAC
Molecule: ribosomal RNA, 301 nt
Filed under: uncultured bacterium
Lineage: Bacteria
Description: partial 16S ribosomal RNA
Rfam family: Bacterial small subunit ribosomal RNA
Source: RNAcentral